Molecule: ribosomal RNA, 416 nt
Filed under: uncultured prokaryote
Description: bacterial SSU rRNA
Rfam family: Bacterial small subunit ribosomal RNA
Source: RNAcentral
GUGUCAGCAGCCGCGGUAAGACGGAGGAGGCAAGCGUUGUCCGGAAUCAUUGGGCGUAAAGAGCGCGUAGGCGGUUUUUCAAGUCGUAUGUGAAAACUUCAGGCUUAACCUGACGAUUGCAUAUGAAACUGGAUAACUUGAGUACAGCAGAGGAAAGUGGAAUUCCUGGUGUAGCGGUGAAAUGUGCAGAUAUCAGGAAGAACACCAGUAGCGAAGGCGGCUUUCUGGGCUGUUACUGACGCUGAGGCGCGAAAGCUAGGGGAGCGAACAGGAUUAGAUACCCUGGUAGUCCUAGCCGUAAACGAUGGACACUAGGCGUGGGAAGUUAUCGACGCUUUCUGUGCCGAAGCUAACGCAUUAAGUGUCCCGCCUGGGGAGUACGGCCGCAAGGCUAAAACUUAAAGGAAUUGACGGGG